Molecule: ribosomal RNA, 297 nt
Filed under: Triticum aestivum (bread wheat)
Lineage: Eukaryota; Viridiplantae; Streptophyta; Magnoliopsida; Poales; Poaceae
Description: partial small subunit ribosomal RNA
Source: RNAcentral
AUGGACUGCAGCGAGUUCUGGACCCCUCCGACGACGCACCGGUCGGAGUCCGGGACGCUGUCCUGCAUCAGCUGCAUGACCGCCAGGUCGAACAUCCAGAGGCCAAGGCGCGACGCUGCGACGCCGGCCAUGAGCACCCACGCCGACGCCACGCCGUCGCUCACCCAGAUGGAGCCGACGCAAAGCAGCAGGCAGCACCACUGCAAGCCCAUGUCACCAGCCCCGUUCGAAGCGUGGACACCCACGAGUGCACCACCGGGUACAGCAAGGUCGCCCCGAUCCCGACGAUGGCGCUGA